CUGUGCUAUUGUGCCCAAGUUGAUACCUGUGGAGAGAAAAGGAAAGAGAGAGUGAGUAACACAAGGAGAAACAGAGGAAACCUGUACUUACAGUACGCUGUGUCCAGCCCAGAGUUGAUACCUGUGGAGAGAAAAGGAGAGAGAGUGGGUAACACGAGGAGAGACCGAGGAAAACUGUACUUACGCCGCUACCUGUGGAGAAAGAGAAAGCGAGUGAGCACCCAAGGAACGAACUGUGUGAACCAGUACUUACCGUGAGCUGUAUUCAGCGAAGAGGAGGAAGAAGGAGGGCGCUACGGAUACCUAAGACUCAGGCCGGGGCCCGAGUCCCACGCCCCGGAUCCCCGUGGCCCCCUUUCUCCCUGACCUCUUCCCGGCCAUAGCCCAUCUGGAGGGCCGAGUCAGAGUUUAGUUUUAAUUGCCCUUUCCCUAUUCCCCAAGCUAUUUUUAAAUAUUUAAAUAAAGAUUGUUUUAUCAUUUAUUUGUUCUCGUGUUGUUUGGCCAUUGGGUUGGCUUUGGGGACCUCCUCGAGGUGGAAGUUGAGAAGGGGUGUGGCUUAGUCAAAGCAUAGCCAGCCCCUGGGUGUGACAUUUACAUAGAAAAACUAUGUAAAAGUAGCGCAUUGGAAUCGAAAAAAUGCACUCUUUGUGAAUGGCCCCUAGGUAUUCUUGGGCUGUUUUAAAAAAAAAAUAAAAAAAUAAUAAUAAAUAAUAAUAAUAAAAAAUAUAGAUAUCAGAGUUGUUUGGAGUGGGGAUGAAUUUACCGUGAUCUGCGGUGACAUUACAAUCGUGUUGCAUUAUGGUAAAUGGGGCGGCCUGAAGUGAACAUCUGAAGUAGACCUGCUCCCUCUAUCAAAAUCGAGAGGUCGAGGGCAUAGGUGGAACAUGUGUAAGGCUGGCCAUGAGUACUUGGGGCAAAAAC
Cyprinus carpio carpio is the source of this 921-nucleotide long non-coding RNA. NCBI's taxonomy places the organism in Eukaryota, Metazoa, Chordata, Actinopteri, Cypriniformes, Cyprinidae. The record is from Ensembl.